Molecule: ribosomal RNA, 1372 nt
Filed under: Salmonella enterica subsp. enterica serovar Typhimurium
Lineage: Bacteria; Pseudomonadati; Pseudomonadota; Gammaproteobacteria; Enterobacterales; Enterobacteriaceae
Description: partial 23S ribosomal RNA
Rfam family: Bacterial large subunit ribosomal RNA
Source: RNAcentral
GCGCAUGUGCUGUGAGCUCGAUGAGUAGGGCGGGACACGUGGUAUCCUGUCUGAAUAUGGGGGGACCAUCCUCCAAGGCUAAAUACUCCUGACUGACCGAUAGUGAACCAGUACCGUGAGGGAAAGGCGAAAAGAACCCCGGCGAGGGGAGUGAAAAAGAACCUGAAACCGUGUACGUACAAGCAGUGGGAGCCCCACCACUAAGCCAGUGGUGAACUCCACAUCCGCAUCCUUUGCUGAGGAUACGGUUAACGGAGCGAAAGCGACGUUCAACCGCAAAACAAGCAGAGGGGGCUUAGUGGUGGGGUGACUGCGUACCUUUUGUAUAAUGGGUCAGCGACUUAUAUUCUGUAGCAAGGUUAACCGAAUAGGGGAGCCGGAGGGAAACCGAGUCUUAAUUGGGCGUUAAGUUGCAGGGUAUAGACCCGAAACCCGGUGAUCUAGCCAUGGGCAGGUUGAAGGUUGGGUAACACUAACUGGAGGACCGAACCGACUAAUGUUGAAAAAUUAGCGGAUGACCUGUGGCUGGGGGUGAAAGGCCAAUCAAACCGGGAGAUAGCUGGUUCUCCCCGAAAGCUAUUUAGGUAGCGCCUCGUGAAUUCAUCUCCGGGGGUAGAGCACUGUUUCGGCUAGGGGGCCAUCCCGGCUUACCAACCCGAUGCAAACUGCGAAUACCGGAGAAUGUUAUCACGGGAGACACACGGCGGGUGCUAACGUCCGUCGUGAAGAGGGAAACAACCCAGACCGCCAGCUAAGGUCCCAAAGUCAUGGUUAAGUGGGAAACGAUGUGGGAAGGCCCAGACAGCCAGGAUGUUGGCUUAGAAGCAGCCAUCAUUUAAAGAAAGCGUAAUAGCUCACUGGUCGAGUCGGCCUGCGCGGAAGAUGUAACGGGGCUAAACCAUGCACCGAAGCUGCGGCAGCGAACGUAUCACCCAAGACAACUUUACGGAGUUGACGAUUGACGGAGCGAAGCGACGUCAAAGCGUUCAUUAAAGUCGAGUUGGCUUAGGGAUACGUUCGUUGGGUAGGGGAGCGUUCUGUAAGCCUGUGAAGGUGUGUCGUGAGGCAUGCUGGAGGUAUCAGAAGUGCGAAUGCUGACAUAAGUAACGAUAAAGCGGGUGAAAAGCCCGCUCGCCGGAAGACCAAGGGUUCCUGUCCAACGUUAAUCGGGGCAGGGUGAGUCGACCCCUAAGGCGAGGCCGAAAGGCGUAGUCGAUGGGAAACGGGUUAAUAUUCCCGUACUUGGUGUUACUGCGAAGGGGGGACGGAGAAGGCUAUGUUGGCCGGGCGACGGUUGUCCCGGUUUAAGCGUGUAGGUGUGUGUUCCAGGUAAAUCCGGUUCACUUUAACACUGAGGCGUGACGACGAGGCA